AUCGUGCUGCUUUGAUUGGAUCAUCCAACAUUAAUGAUAGAAGUUUGCUAGGCUCAAGAGACUCUGAGAUUGGGGUACUAAUUGAAGAUAAGGAGUUUGUGGACUCAUCUAUGAAUGGACAGCCUUGGAAGGCUGGAAAAUUUGCUUAUAGUCUUCGGUGCUCCUUGUGGUCCGAGCACCUUGGUCUUCAUUCAGGAGAGAUAAAUCAAAUCAGUGAUCCUGUAUCAGACACAACA
Morus notabilis is the source of this 236-nucleotide long non-coding RNA. RefSeq lists it as uncharacterized. The transcript has 3 exons. Lineage: Eukaryota; Viridiplantae; Streptophyta; Magnoliopsida; Rosales; Moraceae. The record is from RefSeq and is a predicted model, not a curated record.